GGGGCUUUUGGAGGGCUCUGUGGGCUGGCACUAAGCCUCCUAAACCAGCGUACAAAUGAGUUAGCGAGUUCAGUGAGAGUCAGGCCACCACCUGCCUUUCUGUUUGGCUGUCACUGUGGGCAACACCAUCCUCCAAGCAGCUGAGCAUGGGCUGAGUGACGUGGGGAGAGAGGCCGUUCUCUGGGCUCCGUGGGACUGGAGCCAGCUCAGCAUGUGGUGCCUGUGGCAAAAAUGCUGCGGUGGACCCUGCGUGUCCUGGGGAUGGGUGGGAUCAGAGACUUGCUGUCCAAGUCAGAAUCUCAGCUUUUCUCCUUUCUCCUCUACCCUCCUCUCAGGUACCUGUGUGACAAGGUCGUCCCUGGGAACAGGGUUACCAUCAUGGGCAUCUACUCCAUCAAGAAGUUUGGCCUGACCGCCAGCAGGGGCCGUGACAGGGUGGGCGUGGGCAUCCGAAGCUCCUACAUCCGUGUCCUGGGCAUCCAGGUGGACACAGAUGGCUCUGGCCGCAGCUUUGCUGGGGCCGUGAGCCCCCAGGAGGAGGAGGAGUUCCGUCGCCUGGCUGCCCUCCCCAAUGUCUAUGAGGUCAUCUCCAAGAGCAUCGCCCCCUCCAUCUUUGGGGGCACGGACAUGAAGAAGGCCAUUGCCUGCCUGCUCUUUGGGGGCUCCCGAAAGAGGCUCCCUGAUGGACUUACUCGCCGAGGAGACAUCAACCUGCUGAUGCUAGGGGACCCUGGGACAGCCAAGUCCCAGCUUCUGAAGUUUGUGGAGAAGUGUUCUCCCAUUGGGGUAUACACGUCUGGGAAAGGCAGCAGCGCAGCUGGACUGACAGCCUCGGUGAUGAGGGACCCUUCGUCCCGGAAUUUCAUCAUGGAGGGCGGAGCCAUGGUCCUGGCCGAUGGUGGGGUCGUCUGUAUUGACGAGUUUGACAAGAUGCGAGAAGAUGACCGUGUGGCAAUCCACGAAGCCAUGGAGCAGCAGACCAUCUCUAUCGCCAAGGCUGGGAUCACCACCACCCUGAACUCCCGCUGCUCCGUCCUGGCUGCUGCCAACUCAGUGUUCGGCCGCUGGGAUGAGACGAAGGGGGAGGACAACAUUGACUUCAUGCCCACCAUCUUGUCGCGCUUCGACAUGAUCUUCAUCGUCAAGGAUGAGCACAAUGAGGAGAGGGAUGUGAUGCUGGCCAAGCAUGUCAUCACUCUGCACGUGAGCGCACUGACACAGACACAGGCUGUGGAGGGCGAAAUUGACCUGGCCAAGCUGAAGAAGUUUAUUGCCUACUGCCGAGCGAAGUGUGGCCCCCGGCUGUCAGCAGAGGCUGCAGAGAAACUGAAGAACCGCUACAUCAUCAUGCGGAGCGGGGCCCGUCAGCACGAGAGGGACAGUGACCGCCGCUCCAGCAUCCCCAUCACUGUGCGGCAGCUGGAGGCCAUUGUGCGCAUCGCAGAAGCCCUCAGCAAGAUGAAGCUGCAGCCCUUCGCCACAGAGGCAGAUGUGGAGGAGGCCCUGCGGCUCUUCCAAGUGUCCACGUUGGAUGCUGCCUUGUCCGGUACCCUGUCAGGUGAGCAGAUGCAGGGGACAUGGUCUCAAUUGAUCUGGGUUCCCUGGCUCGGAGCUCUGUGGGCAGGGCUCUGGCCUGCUGGGGGCCUGCAGUGUGUGUCUUGCUUCUCUGAGUUUGCUGAGCUUCUCUGAGUUUCUUUUUGCAAUAAGACCCCUCUCCUCCUUUCUCCCCACCGCUGUUUCCUCCAAGAUGGGAAGAAGCAGCUUCUCUCCAGACCCUUGAACACAAUCCUCUUGACCCAGGUCAUUGAUGAUAAUUACCCUUCUCACUGGCUAGGAACAACAGUUGACGCUCUGCUUCCUAGAGCUCGUCAGCAUUUUCAGUGCUUCCAGAGUUAUUUCUUGCAUUUUUCCUUCCAGCUGCCCCCUGGAAGCCAGGUGAGCAGUCAGUCCUGCCCAUGUUAGAAAUGAGACAGCUGACACUCGAAGGGGCCUUUCCCUGGUGCCCAAGAUCACAGUCGCUUGGCUGGAAUGCAAGUCUCCUGGCCCCUAGGCCAGCGUUUUCCACACCAUAAGCCAUACUGUCUGGUUUCGGUCAGCCUUUCAACAGACUGUCCCAGGCACCAAUCAUGAGCCAGGCUACCUACGCUGGGGAAAAUCUGUUCCUUCACCCAGCAGAUACUUCAUUAGUGUUACUGUUUGCCAGGCACUGUUCUAGGUGCUGGGAGUAUAAGAGCAAUCAAUCACAAGGUCCCCGCCCUCCUGGGUUCUCAUUCUCGUUCUAGUUGGGGAGAGAUAGACAGUAGAGAAACAAAUGCAGGUAGUGUAGGUAGUGAAAAAGGCAGUGAGGGAGAUGAUGGCAGGGCCAGGUGUGUUGGAAAAGGAGGACGUGCUCUUUCCCAUGGAGUGAGUGGGCAUGGCCUCUGCCAGGAGGUGAUGCCAAGCAGGGAGCUGCAUGAAGUGGACAGUGUGGCUCCUUGGGGGAAGAGCUGCUCAGGUGGAGGCAGCGCUAAGUGUCAGUUUCCCCAGGAGGGAGCAGGUUUGGUGCAUUUGACUGGGGAGGCACUUGGGUGAGGAAUGGGGUGGGUGGGGCCUGUUCCUCCUGUCCCCCUUGGUGAAGACUCAGCCUCUACCCUGGAGACACUUCCUGUCACAUGAGACAUUGCAGGUGGAGGCCUCUGGGAUGCUGCAGGCACAGAGGGUAGGGGUGAUAUGGAGUGGUGAUAAUUUGAGUUGGGUCUUGUGGGCUAUGUAGGAGUUUGCCUCACAGACUCCCCUCUCAAUGACUUCUUGACCAUGAGCCCACCAUCGCCUUAGCUGAAACACCAAGGCCUCUGUGGCAGUAAUUGGAAGUCACGAGCCUCCUGGUUGCCGAGGGCUCCUCAGGGCACCUCGUAGAUGUGUCCAGGGCAGGCUGGCUUCCCUCCUGGGUCACUGAUGGGCCCCUUCCAACUCUCUCUCUAAUCUAUCUGCUCCAGCAACAAAAGGAGUCCUGCUGUGGCCUCCAAGGGCCCGCAGGACUUGGUCCCUAGUGACACUCUGGCCAUGUCUCUGCUGCGCUGGGCCCCGGGCUGCUUUUUGAAUGAGACAGGUGUGUUCCUGCCUCUGUGACUUUGUGCUUGGCCUGGAGUGUCCCCACAUGUGCCAUAUCCUGUCUCCUCAAUCAGGCCUGCACCACCCUGGCACACUCGGUGCCCUUUUCUGACUUACUCUUCGGGGCCUGGCUCAGGCUAUUCUUCCUUGGGCUAGAGGCUGUCUCUGUCCAAGAACUCCCAUUGUCCCAGCUCCCUGGCUGCCUCACUUCUCAAUGCCCACAGGGGUGGAGGGCUUCACCAGCCAGGAGGACCAGGAGAUGCUGAGCCGCAUCGAGAAGCAGCUCAAGCGCCGCUUUGCCAUUGGCUCCCAGGUGUCUGAGCACAGCAUCAUCAAGGACUUCACCAAGCAGGUGAGCCUGCCUUGGAGUGGGGGUGUGAGCCGGCACGGGGUGCAGGGCUUUCUGCUGGUUCCCACCCACUCAGCACUGGCGUCUUACUCAGCAGACAGGCCCUGAACGGGGGUAGGAUGGACAACUGUCCCUUUCUCAGACCUUUUCUAGCCAUCAUUCCUUCCCCAGGGACGUCUUCAUCAGGAGCAGGGAUGGGGGUAUUUUUUCUGUCCCACGAAGGGGAGAGGAGAGCAGAGGUGGUUGGAUUCUGGUGAAACCCCAUACAAGUUCCCCGCAGCCCUUCCCGUCUGUGCCUUUCCCCGUUGGCGGGCAUUUCAUGGAGUGGGAAGGGGCAGAGCCAUGAGAGUGAGCUUUCUGGCUCACUGAGGAGGGUACUGUUGGCCCCAUAGAGAGAAGAUGGGAUUUUCCAGAUGCUCUGGAAAACCUGUCACCUUAAAAAUCUCAGGAUUAAUCCUAGUUUCUGGUCUCCGCUCCUUGUACAUCAUCUCAUUUUGAUUCAGGGCAGUUUAAUGGGUGGUAUCGUGUCUAUUCUAUAGGUGCGCAGACUGAGGCUUAGAGAAAGGUUUAGAGCUUCAGUUCUAGAGUCAGAUGGGACUUAAGUCCCAGCUCUACCGCUUAAUUGCUGUGACUUUGAGCAAGUGGCUUAGCCUCCGUGUGCCUCAGUGUCUGGUACACAGUGGGCACUCAGGAAGUGUGGGCCCUUUAGGUCAAAGGAGCCUGAGUUCAAAGUUCCCCCUGAGCCUGGGGAUGUCUGGGCUCUGUCGGAGUCCCCUCGGGCAGCACGUGCCGUUAGCCAGCCAUGUGCUCCCACAGAAAUACCCGGAGCACGCCAUCCACAAGGUGCUGCAGCUCAUGCUGCGGCGCGGCGAGAUCCAGCAUCGCAUGCAGCGCAAGGUUCUCUACCGCCUCAAGUGAGUCGCGCCGCCUCACUGGACUCAUGGACUCGCCCACGCCUCGCCCCUCCUGCCGCUGCCUGCCAUUGACAAUGUUGCUGGGACCUCUGCCUCCCCACUGCAGCCCUCGAACUUCCCAGGCACCCUCCUUUCUGCCCCAGAGGAAGGAGCUGUAGUGUCCUGCUGCCUCUGGGCGCCCGCCUCUAGCGCAGUUCUGGGAAGUGUGCUUUUGGCAUCCGUUAAUAAUAAAGCCACGGUGUGUUCAGGU
This 4603-nucleotide small RNA is filed under the name Pan troglodytes (chimpanzee). RNAcentral's name for it is "retained intron". Lineage: Eukaryota; Metazoa; Chordata; Mammalia; Primates; Hominidae. The record is from RNAcentral.